Molecule: ribosomal RNA, 253 nt
Filed under: uncultured bacterium
Lineage: Bacteria
Description: partial 16S ribosomal RNA
Rfam family: Bacterial small subunit ribosomal RNA
Source: RNAcentral
UACGUAGGGUGCAAGCGUUGUCCGGAAUUAUUGGGCGUAAAGGGCUCGUAGGCGGUCCAUCACGUCGGGAGUGAAAAGCUGGGGCUUAACCCCAGUCCUGCUUCCGAUACGGGUGGACUAGAGGUAGGUAGGGGAGAACGGAAUUCCUGGUGUAGCGGUGAAAUGCGCAGAUAUCAGGAGGAACACCAGUGGCGAAGGCGGCUCUCUGGGCCUUACCUGACGCUGAGGAGCGAAAGCGUGGGUAGCGAACAGG